GGCCGUACAGACCGAAGGCUCACGGGAUGCGGGUUUGACUUUCGGCUCCCCGAGCGCUUAUUAUAUUUAUUUUUUCCUCUCAGCGAUCCAUUAAAACACCCAAGAAGAGCACCGGAGGCGGGGAAAUACCUGGUCCGAGGCGGCGGCUCCUGCGGCGGGCUGCAGAAAGUCGCUCUGACCGCCGUCCGCGUCCAAGGCAGCCAUUUCCUGCUGCUUCGCUGGCUGUUCUGGGGCUACAGGGGAAAGACAGAGAACAAACACAGCGAAGUGUAAUUCCUCAGCGACUUCCACACCAACUAAUAACAAUAACUUUAGCUCUCCAACUACAAACCAGACAUUUAACUAAACCCGCGACUUCACUCGCUCUCACACUGCACCGCUUUCCCUUCCUGCUCGCAUCGAGCGUUUUACUUUGUUAAAGUCGAGCUAACUCACUAGCCUAGCUAAGUGCUAGCAUAGCUGCUGAACGGGGAGAAGAUUAAAGACUUUGGCUAAGCUAGCUGUGCUAAAGGUGGCUCCAAACUCACCGGCGGUGCUGUGCUUCGAUCGGUUUAAGUGUUACGUACCAGUCAUAGCGCGAACGGCUAAAAAAUAGCAAGGUUAUCUGUUCAUUUAAACUCCAAACAUGAUUGUUUUAAUCAAAGGCGGGCUGUGAUCGGAGAUUCGGGUCGAUUUUUUUUCCCUUAUUUUGAUUGACGGUGCGGGAAGCGCAAAAGGUGGGGCUAUUGAGCCUUGGACCGUGGAAGUCGCUGCACGUAGAGGAAGUCCCGCCCCGCUUCUCGUUUUGAAACGAUUGGCUGCGCGACUGGACUCUUUCGUCUCUGAUUGGUCGGACGCGCACGUCAGUUAACUCGAUGCCACGAGCUUUUCCUGUUGGUUUGUUUUUCCCAGCUCUGCGACGGGUUUGGAAAAGCUGGUGGAUUGUGUACAGGGCCAGAAAGGCUCAUGGAGUUAAUUACGUCUCCUGAUCUUUUAGAAAAACUUUAAAAAGACAACAGAAAUGACGUGCUUUUGUUCUAAAUGCUAUAUUAAACACGCUGUGGCGUACUUUCAUGUGGUUUGGGAUGGAGCCCAGAACAUGUCGGUGUGGGGGGAAGGGGGAGAGAAGAAUAAAAAGUUACCCUGUUUGACACCAAAAGCUGUCGCUUUACUCGCUCGGGUAAACAAACUAGUAUGCGGAAACAGCUGCAAGACCCGGAUGUGCCACAGCUUAGACUGCUAACCACUACACAGCCUGUAUUGGUCAAGGCCGAUAUGCAUGGAAGCAGGGCCGAGGUGCAGCCUGAAGAGUAGAGAAAUGAAAAAUGAAACAAACCCCACGUUUGGUAAUCCAACAAUCCCGAUUUUGAGUGAGGUCCCGAAUCUUCCGAUGAGAGGGGGCAGCUUUGGUCCAUCUCCUCCCUUCUUCGGAGGCAUCUGCAAUUAAAAAAAAAAAAAUCCAUUAUGAAUACAAGAAGACAUCUGAUGAUCACAUGAUAAACACACCUUUUUAGGAGCCAUGACUGAAAUGUGUCAGCACUACUCUCUUCAUGAAUCUAUCAUCAUUCAUAAGUUGAAAUCUUUACAUUAGUAUAGUCAAAUCUUACUUAGUUAAGAGUGAUUCUUUCUUUCUGGGCUGUCUCAUUUCAGCACACAUGAUGCCCAAAAUAACCUCCGAUGCACAGUUAAGGAGGGGUGUAGGAUGACCAGGCUGGCCUGCUGAGCUAAAUAUAACCCAUAUUUCAUAAUUCAUUAAUAAACACAUAUCAUUAGCUCUUAUAUCACUGCCAUACUUCCUCAGCAGGAGCAUCUGUCUGUCAGUCUGUCUGAGUGUCACAGCCAGAUAUUUACCUCUAGCUAGCUCCAUUCAUUUCUACACACUUAGCAUAUUAGCUUCCUCGCCCCUGUUAGCAUUAUGGCACAAAACAGUGUGUAUGUUCCAAGCUAUGAAAGUUGAAUACAAACGCAAAACCGUGAAUUUAUCCAUGUUUGUGUUUGCAUCACCUUGAAUUAAAGCUAUGUUUGAUUACGAAGGAGGAAUUUCAGCGUGCUGGAAAGCAGCUCACACGCUUUGCACAGCCCAGGCGACGGCACGAAAAGAAA
Molecule: long non-coding RNA, 2082 nt
Organism: Neoarius graeffei (lesser salmon catfish)
Lineage: Eukaryota; Metazoa; Chordata; Actinopteri; Siluriformes; Ariidae
Exons: 2
Source: RefSeq, a predicted model, not a curated record